This 400-nucleotide ribosomal RNA is filed under the name phytoplankton environmental sample. Its description in RNAcentral is "partial small subunit ribosomal RNA". It matches the Rfam family "Eukaryotic small subunit ribosomal RNA", at positions 587 to 991 of the family's 1831-position model. The record is from RNAcentral.
AGCUCCAAUAGCGUAUAUUAAAGUUGUUGCAGUUAAAAAGCUCGUAGUUGGAUUUGUGGUGUACUUCGGCGGCCCGUCACUAUGUGAUGGAGCUUGCUGAAGUCGCCAUCCUUGGGUGGAUCCUGUGUGGCAUUAAGUUGUCGUGCAGGGGAUGCCCAUCGUUUACUGUGAAAAAAUUAGAGUGUUCAAAGCAGGCUUAUGCCGUUGAAUAUAUUAGCAUGGAAUAAUAAGAUAGGACCUUGGUACUAUUUUGUUGGUUUGCGCACCAAGGUAAUGAUUAAUAGGGACAGUUGGGGGUAUUCGUAUUUCAUUGUCAGAGGUGAAAUUCUUGGAUUUUUGAAAGACGAACUACUGCGAAAGCAUUUACCAAGGAUGUUUUCAUUAAUCAAGAACGAAAGUA